AAAGGGAGGGGCUAUUCCUCAAGGUAAAAGGAAAGAGUAAAGACUAGGUGUGUGAAGUCAGCAGGACGACCUGAGCUGCCCAGCAGAUAUCCUCAGACCCCUUGCCAAGACAGACCUCGUUCUCAGUCAGGUUGUGUGCAAGAUGGGCCAAUUCUCAGGUCUGCUUUUGCUGACAGUUCUCUGUGCAUUCUUCGAGGAAACUGAAGCAAAUCCAUUUGUUUACAACUAUGAGAGACUACGAAUUGGAGGCCUGAUCAUUGCAGGCUUGCUUGUAGUAGGUGGCUUGUUUGUCCUACUUAAUCCCAAAUGCACUAGAAAAAACAAAAAAUCUGAAGAUGACACAAGUGAACUCUAAGCAUCUCUAAAGGAUGGAAUCUGACUAACUGGUUGCUGUUGUUCUAAUGAUGAAGAUUCGGGGUGGGAAUGGGGCAGGGCUCUGGCCAUGACAAUGUAAUGACACCUGAAUGGAUGUGAGAGCGGAUGGAGGGUGGGUGGGCCACAAUGCAUCUAUUUACUGUUUUGUUUCUUUAUUGGCUCAAAUGUAUGAGUUUAUUUUCAGGUGUUUUACCGUGGUAGUGAGAUGUAUGAUCGAACAACAGAAAUACAUUUCAUUUAGCUAUAGGCCCUGGGCAUUAUGGUCAAACAGUUGUAUUGAGCUAAAACGAUUAGCCUUCAAUUGUCUGUGCAAAUUCUUAUGAAUGAAAAGCCAAAUAAAUACCAUUGAAUACCA
Long non-coding RNA from Oncorhynchus tshawytscha (Chinook salmon), 730 nucleotides. RefSeq lists it as uncharacterized. The transcript has 7 exons. The record is from RefSeq and is a predicted model, not a curated record. Lineage: Eukaryota; Metazoa; Chordata; Actinopteri; Salmoniformes; Salmonidae.